GCCAGUGUGUAGGGCUGGCCCCAUCUGUACAGGGUCAGUCCUGGCCACAGCUCCUUUGGGCACCUGAGAUUCUUUCGCCUCAGCAAUCAGCAGGACAGAACUGCCCAUGGCCAUGCUGAUGCUGAGCUGGGACCCCAGCCCUGGCACACAAGGCCCCAGCAGGAGGGCUUUCAAGACCCCUAAGCAGAUAAUAUACAUUGAACUGCUACCAGUUACCCAUUGAGGAAACGGACUUCUUAAAGAACUUACUUGUUUAAUGAAAGUCAUCUAUAUGUAAAGUAUGAUGCAAAGAAAACUGAAAAACAUAACAACAUAACAAACUGAUUUCAGUCUUCCAGGUCUCAGCACUUCAGGAGGUGGAAGUCAAAGGCAUUAUUGUCUGUUUUUCUCUUCACAAGUAAACGGUGUUGUUUUAUGACCUUAUUUUCUUUCCUGACUGAGUCCUCAGCUAGGUCUGCGAGCCAGAUGAAAAGGGGUGCUUCAGAGUUUUCAGUGUGGUAGGAAUUAAAGUCACAUUUAAAAAUCAGCAACAAUGCUGCAGAACUGCCUGCAUGCCUAAGAGUUUAUAAGCAUAAGAGUUUUGGUUGUAAAGUUAUUUAAGCAUUGACAGUGGUGUCAUUUUUUGAAGUUGUUUUGUCAGAGUUGGGCAGCUCUAAUUCUAUAUUUCAUUUAAAGCCAACUAAGAUUCAUUGGUUUAAAUAAAAAUGCUGUCAUGCCAUGCCAGAUAGCUCCUGCAAAACACAUACCUCUUUGCUUCUAAGACAUCAAUGAAAAAGGAUAGAAACUAUCUUUACUAUGCUAAAUCAAUAACCCUUUACUCAGCAGUAUGAACUUUGAGUUUCUUUUUGGUCUGAAAUAAUAUCAGUGCACAUCUAAAAAAGCUGUUAAUCACAAAUAGGCAAGGCUGAAGAAGAAAGUGUCCUUCAUCAUUCUUGUUGAAGGGCGGGGGAAGUAAGAUUUCUGUGACAGUUGGAAACCUAAGUGUCUAUAACCGGCUUUGAGAAUUUGCAGAGCUGGGCAGAGAAUUAAUCAUUAUGAGAGCUAUCAUCUUCAUGCCCAAGACUCUUUGUGAACCUCAUCUCAUAGCCUUUCACAAAAUCAUUUACCUGUCUUUAUGUGUUUGAUCCCAUCUUUUGAAGGAGAAAACUAAAGAUUGUGCACUACAUAAAUGAAGCUUGGAAUAAAACACACAAAACUAUAUAGAUGAGUGUUCUGUACUGAGGCUGCUUCAAAUGUUACAAUUAAAAUGUCAGAUAAUUACUUGAUUUGACCCACAUGCUAGAAUGGACUUAAUCUCUGUUUUGAGAAGUUUGAUUUUUUGAUGUUUUAAUUUCCAGCCUGUGUAAGCAUUAAAAUCAUGCUUUGCUAGGCUCUGUCUUACAGCACUUCGCCUUUCUUGACUGCUUCCUUAAAUAAUGUUAUGUUUGAAUUUUUCUCCUGUUGUAGAAACUAUAGAUAUCUUAAGGGAACCUAUUCCAAAAGUCCUUGAUAAGCACACUUUAUAUAUAGCUUCUUCAGCUCUGUGCUGUGAUAGUCACAAUAUUUUAUAGGAGGAAUCUCACCAGUCAUUUCAGAUAUGUCCAUAGAGCCCUUUGUAGAACAACCCUCCGAAACUAUCCUUGGGGAGAAAGAAAAUAUAUUUCCACAGUGUCAUUAUUUUUACAGUUUGAUUAUAAUGACUACAGCUAUAGUUCUAUUACUACUGACACUAGUAUUACAAGUGUAACAUACCACAGCAGAAUGUGACAUUUCCUAGGCUAUUGUAAAGCCUCCAGAAACCAUCAAGGAUUUGCUUAGUCUACUAUAGAACAUGUCUGAGAAAUUAAUUUUAUGAGACAGGGCACCAUUGUGAAUAAAACCACCUAGAGUGUUCAAAGUGAAUGUUUUGUACCCAGUGUGAUAAAGCAAGAGUUUAGUUUAAGCCAAAAGAAUAUCUGGAACACUUUGUUUUCCCACAUACCACGUUUUAUUACAAUAGACAAGAAGAAACCAAAUAAACUGAGAAUAAAAAUUACCAGUGUGUGUAAUGGUUGUGCUAAGUUUUUAUGUCUGGAGAGUGGACUUGAGGGAGGCAAAUAAACUCUUUUAUGCGAUCCAGUUUUGUACAUGAAUCUAUUGAAAUUGCAUUGAAUUGAAACUUGAACUUAUAUUUUGUUAGUACUGGUUCACAUUUCAGAAGAAUUUCUGGAAAAAAUACGUAUUAAAAUGGACUGUGAAAAUAUCAGGCUAGAACCGAUCAAAAAUAUAGAGAAACAGAAAGGAUUAGAAAGAAGGUGGUUUAUGACAAAUUGAGGAAAGGAGUGUGAGGUAAUCAACCUAAUUCAAGUCUAGGCAUACCUGCAGUUUAUUUAAUUUCUCUGUACCUUGUUGAUAUUUACAUUUUUAAAUAUAGCACAUGACAUUAGAAAAUUCAAA
Falco peregrinus (peregrine falcon) is the source of this 2415-nucleotide long non-coding RNA. RefSeq lists it as uncharacterized. The record is from RefSeq and is a predicted model, not a curated record. NCBI's taxonomy places the organism in Eukaryota, Metazoa, Chordata, Aves, Falconiformes, Falconidae. The transcript is spliced from 3 exons.